Sesamum indicum (sesame) is the source of this 366-nucleotide long non-coding RNA. RefSeq lists it as uncharacterized. The record is from RefSeq and is a predicted model, not a curated record. Lineage: Eukaryota; Viridiplantae; Streptophyta; Magnoliopsida; Lamiales; Pedaliaceae.
AUUCUGGGAUAAUUACAUCCAGAAAGAAAAAAGCUCAAUUAUGUCAUGCUUUUUGGAUGACAUGGAUCCGACUCUAGCAUGAGAGGAGUGUCGUCUCUCACAUGAUAGGAGUGGAAUUGAGGGUUUUGAUCAAUUGUUAGUGUGAGAUGUGUAGGAGUGGUGCGGUGAGGGUUUGAUGAGUGUUCUUCCUUGGGGAUUUAUAGUUGCUAUCUUUAUCAUAGGUGGUGAGAGGGGAGGCAAGGGAGGUUCAGUUUGGGGUUUGAUGGAGGCAAGUGGUUGUAUAUCAUCUCAAUAUGAUAAGUUUGAAGGAUUUGGGAGUGGAGCAGUUGGGUAACCAGUUAGUACUUACAAAGGAGGAAGAGGAUG